UGAACGCUGGCGGCGUGCUUACCACAUGCACGUCGACCGGAAAGGCCCAAGCUUGCUUGGGUACUCGAGUGGCGAACGGGUGAGUAACACGUGGGUGAUCUGCCCUGCACUUCGGGAUAAGCCUGGGAAACUGGGUCUAAUACCGGAUAGGACGAUGGUUUGGAUGCCAUUGUGGAAAGUUUUUUCGGUGUGGGAUGAGCUCGCGGCCUAUCAGCUUGUUGGUGGGGUAAUGGCCUACCAAGGCGUCGACGGGUAGCCGGCCUGAGAGGGUGUACGGCCACAUUGGGACUGAGAUACGGCCCAGACUCCUACGGGAGGCAGCAGUGGGGAAUAUUGCACAAUGGGCGCAAGCCUGAUGCAGCGACGCCGCGUGGGGGAUGACGGCCUUCGGGUUGUAAACUCCUUUCGCUAGGGACGAAGCGUUUUUGUGACGGUACCUGGAGAAGAAGCACCGGCUAACUACGUG
RNAcentral lists this ribosomal RNA (466 nucleotides) under uncultured bacterium. RNAcentral's name for it is "partial 16S ribosomal RNA". It matches the Rfam family "Bacterial small subunit ribosomal RNA", at positions 30 to 507 of the family's 1533-position model. The record is from RNAcentral.